This 458-nucleotide long non-coding RNA is filed under the name Sorghum bicolor (sorghum). RNAcentral describes it as "long non-coding RNA (SBIC_LNC015062)". The record is from RNAcentral. Lineage: Eukaryota; Viridiplantae; Streptophyta; Magnoliopsida; Poales; Poaceae.
UCUCCUCGUUGUUGGCCAGCUUUACAAGCAGGGUGUGCAUGCUGCUCAGCUCAUCUCUUAGAAAGGCAAUCUUGGUCUUCACUCCUGUCUGAAGCUUGUACUCCCCUUCUAUCAACUUGGAGAGCUUGGGAAGCAGGGCACUUAUCACACCCGUUGAAGCACUCACUAUUGCACCAGCCAUCUCUCUCUCUCUCUCUCUCUCUCUCUCUCUCUCUCUCUAGAUCUCUCUCUCUCUCUAGAUCUCUCUCUCUCUUUGUGUGUGUUUGUGCACCUCCAGAUCUGGAGCUACCCGAGGGUCAGGUCACCUCCAUUAGGAGCGGCCAACGAAGAGGCAUGACUAAGAUGUGUUCAGUGUUCUCUAACCACACCGGAGCUUGAUCUGGCUGAAGAAGCCUUGAUGAUUCAGGCUAUGGGGAAGGGAAAGAGAGGAGGUGCUGAGGCCUGCUGCUGCUGGUGGA